CGCCCAAUAGCUAGCCCACCCAUCAACCCCAAACACACCCUAUCUAUACCCCCAAACACACCACCACCCAACAAACAAACCAUUUUCCCACCUAAGUACGGGCGACGAAAAAGGACCUAGGAGCAACAGAGAAAGUACCGCAAGGGGAAGCUGAAAGAGUAAUGAAACAACCCAGUAAAGCACUAAAAAGCAGAGACCGCCCCUCGUACCUUUUGCAUCAUGAUUUAGCCAGAAAACCUUAAGCAAAAAGCAUUAUAGUUUAAUACCCCGAAACUAAGCGAGCUACUCCAAGACAGUCUAAUUUAUAGGACCACCCCGUCUCUGUGGCAAAAGAGUGGGAAGAACUUUGAGUAGAGGUGACAAACCUACCGAGCCUAGUUAUAGCUGGUUGCCUGAGAACUGAAUAGAAGUUCAGCCCUUUAAAUUCUUUACCCCCAUUGGCCCAAGGCCUCCACACCGAACAAAAGAAACUAAAGGAGUUAGUCAAAGGGGGUACAGCCCCUUUGAAACAAGAUACAACUUUCCAAGGAGGGUAAAGAUCACAACAAACUUAAAGGCCUAAUGUCCUAGUGGGCCUAAAAGCAGCCACCUACCCAGAAAGCGUUAAAGCUCGAACAUUACAUAACCAGCCUUUUAAUAAAGACAACACAAUCUCACCCCCCUAAACCUACCAGGCCGUUCCAUAAAAAUAUGGAAGUGUUUAUGCUAAUAUGAGUAAUAAGAGAGACCCCCUCUCUCCCCGCACAAGUGUAACUNGGAACGAACCAUUCACCGACCAUUAACGGCCCCAAAAUAAAGAGGGCACUAGACAAAAAACAAACAACUAGAAAACCACCUACCCCCCCCCACCGUUAACCCCACACUGGUGUGCCAACCGGGAAAGACUAAAAGAAAAAGAAGGAACUCGGCAAACACAAGCCUCGCCUGUUUACCAAAAACAUCGCCUCUUGUACCCCUAAACAUAAGAGGUCCCGCCUGCCCUGUGACUAUAA
RNAcentral lists this ribosomal RNA (992 nucleotides) under Stomatepia mariae (nsess). RNAcentral describes it as "partial 16S ribosomal RNA". The stretch from base 188 to 992 matches the Rfam family "Bacterial large subunit ribosomal RNA", at positions 568 to 1875 of the family's 2925-position model. The record is from RNAcentral. Lineage: Eukaryota; Metazoa; Chordata; Actinopteri; Cichliformes; Cichlidae.